This 858-nucleotide ribosomal RNA is filed under the name uncultured bacterium. RNAcentral's name for it is "bacterial SSU rRNA". It matches the Rfam family "Bacterial small subunit ribosomal RNA", at positions 28 to 897 of the family's 1533-position model. The record is from RNAcentral.
GACGAACGCUGGCGGCGUGGCUUAACACAUGCAAGUCGAGCGGUAAGGCUCCUUCGGGAGUACACGAGCGGCGAACGGGUGAGUAACACGUGAGCAAUCUGCCCUUCACUUUGGGAUAACUUCCGGAAACGGAAGCUAAUACCGAAUACGACCACUUCAGGCAUCUGAUGGUGGUGGAAAGUUCCGGCGGUGAAGGAUGAGCUCGCGGCCUAUCAGCUUGUUGGUGAGGUAAUGGCUCACCAAGGCUUCGACGGGUAGCCGGCCUGAGAGGGUGACCGGCCACACUGGGACUGAGACACGGCCCAGACUCCUACGGGAGGCAGCAGUGGGGAAUAUUGGACAAUGGGCGAAAGCCUGAUCCAGCAACGCCGCGUGAGGGAUGACUGCCUUCGGGUUGUAAACCUCUUUCAGCGGGGACGAAGCGAAAGUGACGGUACCCGCAGAAGAAGCACCGGCCAACUACGUGCCAGCAGCCGCGGUAAUACGUAGGGUGCGAGCGUUGUCCGGAAUUAUUGGGCGUAAAGGGCUCGUAGGCGGUUUGUCACGUCGGGAGUGAAAACUCAGGGCUCAACCCUGAGCCUGCUUCCGAUACGGGCAGACUAGAGGUAUGCAGGGGAGAACGGAAUUCCUGGUGUAGCGGUGAAAUGCGCAGAUAUCAGGAGGAACACCGGUGGCGAAGGCGGUUCUCUGGGCAUUACCUGACGCUGAGGAGCGAAAGUGUGGGGAGCGAACAGGAUUAGAUACCCUGGUAGUCCACACCGUAAACGUUGGGCGCUAGGUGUGGGACUCAUUCCACGAGUUCCGUGCCGCAGCUAACGCAUUAAGCGCCCCGCCUGGGGAGUACGGCCGCAAGGCUAA